RNAcentral lists this long non-coding RNA (2098 nucleotides) under Homo sapiens (human). RNAcentral describes it as "HSALNT0317905". The record is from RNAcentral. Lineage: Eukaryota; Metazoa; Chordata; Mammalia; Primates; Hominidae.
AGCUGAGAUCGUGCCAUUGCACUCCAGCCUGGGCAACAAGAGCAAAACUCCAUCUCAAAAACAAACACAAAACCCUUAUCCAAUGGUCAUGCCACUCUAUCUGGCCAUGUAAUUUCUCCACCUGGCUUUCUGUAGCAACAGCCUUCUGAGGAACCUCACUCUGCCGGUCAAAACCCCUUCAACUUGUACCCUUCAUCAGCAAAGUUCUUAGCUCAACAUGUAUGCCUCUGGGGGAACUCAUCCACAUGCCAUUUAAGGAUAUUUCCAGCAACAUCAUCUUCACUACCCCAGGAUGGCAUUUUAGAGUGGAUGACUUGCCUGCUGGAUGUGUUGUUCUUGAGCGAGUUUGAGAAAACGCUACACUUUGAGAUGAAUUAAGAGUCUGUUUACUUAGCCGGCGGCAAAGAAACGGCUAACGUUUAAAGUUCUCUCGGCUUCGAAGAAGGGGCUAAGAUUUUCUUUUAUACUUUGGUUUAGAAAGGGGAGGGGGUUCUAGUUAAAACAAUUUUACAUAAGUAAAGUAGACAAAAAAGUUAAAAGGAUAAAUUGUUACAGGAAAGUAAACAGUUUUAGGUCUAGGGCCUUUAACACUAUUAUAAGGUGAUAGACGCGGGGCUUUGGGCGUUAUCAAUCGGAUGAAUUCCUGGGAACUGCGGAUAUUGCUCGCCACAGUAUCUUAUCAGUUAAUUGCAUUCUUCGAUGUGCUGGGAGUCAGCUUGCACAAGUUAAGUCCCUGAGGAAGGGGCUGCCAGUGAAAGAGCCAAGAUGGAAUCUGUCUGGCUCUCUUAGCUAAGGGAGAGUCAAUUCAGGUGGAAACAAGGCUAGGUCAUUAAAAGAAAGGGAGAGUCUAAAAACAGGGUGAGUAAAAACAUGGUUGGGCAUUACAUUCCUCACUUGUGUUUUUGGGGAAUCAAAUCGUUGAUUCUUCAGUUAUAAAAAGGGGGUUAUUUUGAGUCUUCAGAUACAUAAGUUUGACAGAAGCUAUUCGUUGUUUUACAAAAUUAAGAAACUAACUUAAUAUACAAUGCCCCAAAAUUAGACUUAUUAGUAGGAUGGGGAGGGGGUCCAGCUAACUUAGUAAUUAGAGUGGUUAGCUAUGGGUUCUAGUUGAACAUGCGUUGAUACUAGGGGAUGUUACUUUCUUGUUCUUGUUGGCGCUUUUCUAGAUUUUCUUGCACUUUUUGGAGUGUAUCUUUUAUGACUAAGAAAGGUGGAGGAACAGUUAAAUCAACUUUGUCAGGGUGUUCCUGGAACAUAGGGUUACUUAGAUCAGUUAAAGGCCUGAUUGACUUGGGUGGGCUUUAUGAGACUAGGGUUUUUUUGGAUGGUGAACAUAUACUUAACAUUAAAUCCUGGGAUAUAAAAUCUUAAUGUUCAUGACAUGCCAUGAUACUAUUGAGUUGAAUUAAGGUCAUGGACAGUUAGAGGAUUACAGUUUUUUCUAGUACAUAAUUUAGGAUGAGAAGCACGAGUUAUGGAAAGAGUUGAAGAUCUGGUUGAUCUUUUAGAGUAGGUGGCUAAAGUUACACAUGUCUAAUCAGGGCAGAAAAACUGAUAAGCAUCUUGACAGCUAGCGUCAGGGUGAUUUCUAGGACAGAGGUAAAAGUCAACAUUUUGGAGUCUUUUUUUCUGCACUUUUGGAGCUUCUGCAAUUAGUUUGGCUCUUGGAGUGUCUGAAUCUUGCUGCAAGGUCGACACUUCCUGCUCCUGGGACUGGCAGAUGGUGUUGUUUUUGUGGGUGUGGGCUGGCUUUGGGAAUAGUACAAAUAAAUCAACUGCAAAGGAGACUUCCUUGGAGGUACGGACCUUCUAAGUGGUGUUUGCAAAUACACGUCCUGUUGUGAAAGAGGUGAGGAUUCAGGAGAUAAUUCUGCAAACAGAACUUCCUGAGAACUGAGAUGGGGGAAAUCGCUGGUAUUAGAAGAGUGAAAAGAAACUCCUGGAGGGCAGAGGCAUGCCUGCCAUCUUCAUCAAUGCAUUACCACCACCCAACACUAUCGGGGGACCUGCCCUGAUAAUCAGGUAGGUUCUUUUCUAUUUUCCUAAGCGUCGACUGGCUUGAGAAAUAAAAGGACAGAGUACAAAAGAGAGAAAUUUU